AGCGAACGCUGGCGGCAGGCUUAACACAUGCAAGUCGAGCGGGCACCUUCGGGUGUCAGCGGCAGACGGGUGAGUAACACGUGGGAACGUGCCCUUUGGUUCGGAACAACUCCGGGAAACUGGAGCUAAUACCGGAUAAGCCCUUCGGGGAAGGAUUAUCGCCAAGAUCGGCCCGCGUCUGAUUAGCUAGUUGGUGAGGUAAUGGCUCACCAAGGCGACGAUCAGUAGCNGGUCUGAGAGGAUGAUCAGCC
This 251-nucleotide ribosomal RNA is filed under the name uncultured bacterium. RNAcentral's name for it is "partial 16S ribosomal RNA". It matches the Rfam family "Bacterial small subunit ribosomal RNA", at positions 29 to 309 of the family's 1533-position model. The record is from RNAcentral.